CAUUCGCAACGUGCUUCGCUAGUCCAUCUCUCCUUCCUGUGCCUUCGUUCUUCUUCUCCGUCUGUCUCAACCCUUUUGCGAGAGGAUUGGAUGUCAUUACAGCCAUGUCUGAGACGUAAAGACAGUUGUUAGCAUUGUCUUCUUCGCUUACGUUGAAGAUGGGAUGUCUUCAUCUUAGGUUGAUCUUGCCAUAAAUCUCCUUCUUCUCUUGCCCAAAAUAGCUUACCCUAAGGGCAGAAGUGAAAGAAGAUCGUCAUACUAAUCAGUUUAUUUUCACUUUAACAAAAAACAGACGUGAGAAAACGAGAAUACUAUAUGACCACAUGAGUUGUUCUUAGUUUUAUAUAAGACCUGGGAUACUCCAUGACCACACAAUGCACUUCAAUUCUGACAACGUGUUUUAUUUGUAGGUAGAAAUUGGUAAAUACUGUGUCGUAUUUGUGGGUAGAGUGCCGAGAAUAUAUGAUAACUGGGAGGAUGCUCGGGAAGAGGUUGAAAGAUUCAGCGGGUCCAGACACCGAUCGUUCAGAACACACGGUGAGGCUGUCACAGUGUGGACCACAUUCAAGGCCACUCUCCAGCAAGUUGGUUCGGGCAACACCUGUGGUGUACAUAACAAGGCGUCAUCAAGCAUGACAGAAAGAAUAUCGGAAAGAGUUGAAGGUGGUUCCGCUCCCUUUCAGCCACCGCCAAGCACUGACGAACAUCAAAAUAGAGUACAUGGAUCUGACGUCUCGAUAUCGGACAUGAAUCGAAAUACUGAUGACGAAGGGAUUUUGAACGACAUCAUCAAAAUUCUUAUUAGAGUCGUGCUUAUAUACGCAGUAGUUGCAUGGUUUUUUUCAAGUUUUUGAUGAUAUGGGAUCAUUAGGUGGGGUGUGGCCGAUAUGGUAAUUUGAAAUGAGUGGAGAAAGCUCAGUACCAGUGAGGCGUAUUCUUUUUAAGACUGUAAUUUUUUUUUGUUACACCCUCAAAACACUGGUCACCCCUUCUUUUUUUUUUUUCCUUUUCAUUUUAUGGCCAAAUCAUUUUUUUAUUUGUAUUUAUCGUAUUGUAUGUGUACUGUUAUUUCUGACUUUGUUUGUUUGCUUCAUUUAAACAUCAGUUCUUUAAUUUUUAGUAAUUUUUCAUUGGGUAAGUCUGUGAUGUGUCUAUGUGAAAGUAGAAUCUCAA
Molecule: long non-coding RNA, 1173 nt
Organism: Magnolia sinica
Lineage: Eukaryota; Viridiplantae; Streptophyta; Magnoliopsida; Magnoliales; Magnoliaceae
Exons: 4
Source: RefSeq, a predicted model, not a curated record